Molecule: long non-coding RNA, 3302 nt
Organism: Siniperca chuatsi (mandarin fish)
Lineage: Eukaryota; Metazoa; Chordata; Actinopteri; Centrarchiformes; Sinipercidae
Exons: 4
Source: RefSeq, a predicted model, not a curated record
UGUUGUUGUACCAUUUUCUCAACCAAACAGAGACCACUCAGUCCUAAAACCUAAUGUCUGACACAUUAGCAGUGUUUUUGAAACUUUCCUUUUCUCUUACACACACUGUAUCUAUUUAUUAUAAUCUACAACAUGGCAAUAGGUGUCACAGUCUGUCAUGUUCUCUCCAGUCACUCCCCUGCACUCUGCACUCCCUCACCAGAGUACUAAUACAAAUCACCUGUCACCUAUCUCACACCUGCAAUCAAUUAGCACUCCACUCUCCUAUAUAACCCAGCUCCUCACCACAGUCAGGGUCCGGUCUUGUUAAUGCCACAGGACAGAACGCUAGUUCCCCUGAUUCGGUUAACACUUUGGACUCAAUCUCCCUGAACGGAUUCUACCACAUACCACCAGUACCCAGUGCCUCUUCUCCGGCUCCUACUUGCUCCUGUCCUCCGUGUGAUUCUCUUCAGCUCCUGGUCCCUUGUGUCUCUUGUCAGCCUUUGACAAUGAGCCUGUCGGACCGAGGCGACCCCACCUCAGUCAGCCCUCUGGGACACACGACCCCACUCAGCCUUCUUAUACUCCGACUGGCCUGCUGAUACACAAUCCUCCUACUGUGAAUGUGCCUCCAGCUUAUUCUGAGGUUUCACCUCUAGCAGAACAGGCAGACACUCCAACUGUUCCUGUCCACUCUGACCUGGAGCUGCGGUUUAAACUGAAGGGGAUGACCUUUCCCUCUGCCCCCCCACUCAGUUCAGACUCAACUUACUGUGAUGUUUAUACCUCAGACAAACUCAACUUCCUCUGAAAGCCUUGAUUUUGAAAGGUACACUGCUUCAUUUGUGUGACGUUUAAGGAAUAGUUCGACAUUUUGGGAAAUAUGCUUAUUCACAAGUGGCUUCUUGAAGUCUCUGCUGGUUGCUUGGCAACUGGUUCUAGCCAAGAAAUAGUCCGGCACAAAACCCCCUGUAAAAUGGUGAAUUGUUGUUUUUACACCUCUUUUUUUAUGGAUUGCCAAACAAGAUAUAACAUGUUAAUUAGGGAGCUUUAUAGGUGCUGGUAGGCAAAUUUAGUAAUUUCUGUACGGAGCCAAGCUAGCUUUUUCCCCCUGUUUCUAGUGUUUAUGCUAAGCUAAGCUAACCAGCUGCUGGCUACAGCUUCAUAUCACUGUACAGACAUGAGAGUGGUAUCAAUCUUCUCACAUAACUGUCGGCGAGAAGCAAAUAUGUGUAUUUCCCAAAAUGUUAAACUCAUGUUACAAUGUUCCAUGGUGCCAAAUUUUGUUAUUUUCAUCUGAAUCAGUCCCAUAUAUUUUAGUUUUACUGAGCAGAGCAUGAGACUUCAUACCCAAUGAUCACAGGUUCAAAGCCAUAGGUGAGAGAGAGAUUUUUUUAAUAAAAAGCAUGUACUCUAAAUCGAGAGUGCCUGCAUUAUUUACAUUGAUUUCCUACCUCAAGAGUCUCAUCAACUUCUCAUAAUACUGAGUGAAUAACUGUCUCAUGCCUGCAGUUCUGUCAGGGAUACAUAAUUUAUUGCAGACCAGCUUGACUGAACAUUUUCAGGGAAGACACAAACAUAAAGUAGCUUUAUCUAUGUAUUUUUCUAUCCUUUGGGAUUUAUCUUUUAGCUGUAGUGUAUUUAAAGACUUGUUGUAAUAUUGCUUGCACAUUGCAGUUUAGUGUGGAUUCAGAAUUAGAAAUAACUUUACUCAUUGAUGUAUAGCUACCGUGUUGCAGACACAUUUUCAUUUGCCCAGGCGUCACACACACAUAUCUAAAUGUUUUGAAGUUAUAUUACAGUGAUUGUGCAUAUUUUCAAUAGAGAGUGGCACAAUGGCACUUGCACCUUAAAUGGAUUACUUAACAUAAAUCUGUCAAUCUGUCACUCACAGGUACACUAAACACAAAACUAGAGCUGUAUUUACUAUAUGUCAGUGGUUUUAAUUUGAAUUGUUCAUUUCUUAACGUCUUGGAAUGCAUGUCGUAGUUUAUCACUGUUAUCACUAUAACAUGAUACGAGGAGUUGUAACACAUUUCUGAACAAGUGAGCAUCUUGUGUUUGUAUUUUCCUGUAUGUGGAAUCAGGUGCAUUAAAGCUAAUAACACACUACUAUAUGGUUUGUAUUUGUAUUGUUCCACUGUCUUCAUGUAUUCACAGAUGCCAUCAUUUACUUGUAGUUCUGUGACACCACUACAAGCACCACCCACCCAACAUGUCACCACACGGCCAAAAGCUCAUCCAAGCAUACAAAUUCUCUCCACCAUACCAACUGGUUCACAGAAGAAACUCAGCUGAGCAGAAGUUAAAAUAUGGCUGGGCCUUUUGUGCGUUGUAAAGAAAAACUACAGAGCCAUAAAUCUGUUUGUUGUACGAGGCAAUAAACCAAUUCUUUGUAGACACAUUUGUUAACCUCAGUGAUUGUGAAAAUCCCUCCAAGUUUACCACAUCUUUGUGUUUUAAGGAGGACUGCAGUGGACUGAUGCCUGAAAUGCAACUUGCAUUUAAGAUAUCUUUGUAAAUGGAGACAAAAUAUUAACUAGAACCUGUAACCCUUACUAUGGGAAAAGGAAAAACAAAACAGAAAGUGCUCUAAGAUGAGCUUAGUGAUAAAAGCAUGUUUCAGCAUUUCAGCAUCGAUCAUUAACAUGUGUUUUGAUUUGCUUGGACAGACUAGCCAGCACUGACUCAAGUCUCUACCGUUCUGCUUUUGGACCAACGAGUACAAUUUCUGUUUUCUGCUCAUUAGAAAAUUUUACUCAUUCAAAUGUUAAUGUCAGUGAGACAGGUAAAAACAUUUAAGGAACUGUGGUUGUCUGUCAAAACAGAGAUGUAAAGUUGUGUAACAUCAGCAUAACAAUGAUAUUUGACAUAAUGGUGACUAAUUAAGUUGCCUAAACUAACAAAUAUUUUUCUUUCAGACAGGUAUGAGCGAAACCAGUCAAGCACUGAGCCAGACAGACCCACCCAUUUCUCAAGUCAAUUGAUUAAAAUGCCAUGAUCGAUUGUAUCAAAUGCAGCUAAAAUCUAACCAAAAGAGGACUGCUGCAUUGUUUGAGUCAGUUGAAAUUCUUAUAUGUGACAGAACAAGGCCAGUUUGUACAGGUCAAAUCCAGAUCUGCUUGUUGACAUACACUGACCCUGACAUUCAGUAUUAUCACAUUUUAAGUUGUUAUGGGAAACGCGAUAGCAAACAGUUGAUUAUUUACACAUUCAAUUGACCUGGAGCAACAUUAGCAUUUAUUUGGAGUUGUGUUUCUGGCCACCUGGUAAAUGUUAGUCCAAUAUUUACUCUCUUUUUGCUCUCCACCAAUUCCUGA